UUGUUGCAGUUAAAAAGCUCGUAGUCGGAUUUCAGUAUUAGGCCCUUCUUCCAAUACGGUUGCUAGUGGUCUUUACUUCCUUAACAGAAUCUUUCAUCUCAUUAAUUUGGGGUGUUUGGGGCCUGUUUCUUUUACUUUGAGAAAAUUAGAGUGUUCAAAGCGGGUUUUCGCCUGGAUAUUACUCUUGGAAUAAUAAUAUAGGACUUUGGUUCUUUUUUGUUGGUGACUUAGAACCGAAGCAAUGGUUGAUAGGGACAGUUGGGGUCAUUCGUACUAUGAAGCGAGAGGUGAAAUUCAUGGACCUUUGUAUGACGAACUACUGCGAAAGCAUUUGACUAGGAUGUUCCCGUUGAUCAAGAACGAAAGUUGGGGGAUCGAAGACGAUCAGAUACCGUCGUAGUCUCAACCAUAAACUAUGCCAGCUAGGGAUUGGAGGAAGAUCAUUUUACGUCUCCUUCAGCACCUUAUGAGAAAUCAAAGCAUUUGGGUUCCGGGGGGAGUAUGGUCGCAAGGCUGAGACUUAAAGGAAUUGACGG
This 536-nucleotide ribosomal RNA is filed under the name uncultured marine eukaryote. RNAcentral describes it as "SSU rRNA". It matches the Rfam family "Eukaryotic small subunit ribosomal RNA", at positions 610 to 1159 of the family's 1831-position model. The record is from RNAcentral.